This 5648-nucleotide long non-coding RNA is filed under the name Jatropha curcas. RNAcentral's name for it is "long non-coding RNA (JCUR_LNC000326)". Lineage: Eukaryota; Viridiplantae; Streptophyta; Magnoliopsida; Malpighiales; Euphorbiaceae. The record is from RNAcentral.
GACUUCCAAUGCAUUCCCAUGCCUCUGAUGCAAGUUCAGUUCCACAUGCAUAUUAGUCAUAACAACUGCAAAUGGGAGGAAGCAAUAAAACUUAAGUGAACUUGUCGUGUGAUUAAGUAUAAGAGAGUACUCUUCUUAAUAACAAUAGUAGCCUUUCUUAUGCUCAAAUAUGUAUGAUAUAAAUUGUGUAUGGGAUAUUUUCAGGGGAUUUUGCUGUCUGGACUCCCAAUAUAAGGGUGUAAGGGCGUAAAUAAGGGAGCCACUCGAGCUUGAUUUUCAAAAUUUAUCAAACUUUAAACUCUUUAAUAGUAAGCUGAACCGAAUUUGAAUAUUAUGAUUGCGAUUUUAACUGAAUAUGUAUAUGUUAUAGAAUUUUGAAUAUUCAAACCCAUAUUUUUUUUCUAUAUGUUUAAGUUGUUUUAUGGUCCUAAAAUCUCGGUAAGAUCGGUGUCUAUUAGUAAAUUUUGUAGGAAGUUAAAGAAAAUAGUUUAUUAGAAUCUGAUUUUUUUUCUAUUAUUUUUAAUUUCUUAAUUUUAUAAAGGAAAAUUCAAUUCUUGGAGAUGAGAUUUUAUUAGCUUAACCUUUUUUUUUUUUUUUUGUAAUUAUAUCAUUCAUUGACUUUUUCCAUAAUAAGACAAUAAUGCAUUCUUUUGUUUUUUUUUUACAAAAAAGAAAACAAUUCAUUCGAUAAUCACAUUGUCCGGCUUUGCUUGUUCAGGCAUUUGGCGAAUAUGCGCCACAUUGUAUCUGCCAAUGUUGUAAACUUGUAAUUAGGGGCUGUUUCUGGUGGGUCUGGGUAAGUUUGAAAUACAAUAAUCGAAUCAAAUCUAAAGGGGUGGUUUGAAAAAUAUUAAAUUCAAAUUAAAUUAUAAAAAAAUUCAAAUCAAACUAAAUUUUUAGUGGCGGUUUGGUUUGGUUUGAUUCGAUUCGGCGAUUUGAAAUAAGAAAAAUUAAACUUCCUCAUUUAUCUAAUUAAUAAAAAAAAAAGAUUAACAUUACAUGAAAUAUGAAAAAUGAAUUAAUAAAAAUUAUGCCAUAAAAUACACAUGAUUUUAAAUAACUAUUAAAAUUUUUUAAAUUAAUUUUUUAUAUGUAUAUUCUUAAUAUAGUACAAAAAAUGUUAUAUAUUCAAUAAGAUAAUAAUUAAGCAAAUUAUAAAUAUAGAAUUUUAAUUUUAAUUUAAUUACAUCUAUCACUAAAAAUUAUAAAAAAAUAUAGUUUUACACGCAUAUAGCUUGUACAUAUAUAUUAAUCUAAUUUUAUAUGAAUUUUUAACAUUUGAAUAUUUUAUAAAAUAAUAUAUAAUUUAUCUAAUUAACGAAAAAUUAUUAUUUAAUUAUUAUCUAAUAUAGCUAAUCUCAUAAUUUACUAUCCAAUAUAAAUUAAUCAAUACAAAUCAAAUUUUCAUUCAAAAAAAUUGAAUUGAAUUUAAACACACACACACAUAUAUAUAUAUAUAUAACAGUUUGGUUCGAUUUGGGCAAUUUUGACUCUAAAAUCGUAAAUUGAACCAAAAAUUCGGUUUUUAAAUUUUAUAAAAUCAAACCAAAUGAUUAAUUUUUAAAAUCACAAUUUUGAAUCGAUUUAGAUUGGUUUGGAUUGAUUUGGGAGGUUUAAGCAGUUUGACGAACACCUGUACUUGUAGUAAUGUCAUCAAAUUCAACCCUAGAAGUAAUUUAAUAUUUUUAUUAUUUAAAAAAAAAACAAAAGAUUCAUCCAAAUAAUAAUAAUAAUAAUAAUUUAUCAAAUAUGAUUUAUCUUAUUAAUAUCAAAAGUAAAGUUAUAAAAAAAUUUUUAACAACACUGGUUAAUUUUCUAUUUCCACACUUAGCUAGCACAUAUAAUUUGAUAGAAUUUCAAAUGUGUAAUCUUGUAAAAAUUUUAAAUUAUUAUUUCGUCCAAUUAUUUGAUAUGGUAAAUAAAUGUUAAAUGUUUCAAGCUAUAAUAUAAUUAUUUUUCUAAAAAAUAAAUCUGUAAAAAAUAAAAAAGAAUUUUCCACAAAUUAAAACAUUUGUUCAUGCUUUCCAAAGUCAACAAGUCAACUCCUUGCUCUUCCAAGCACUGGGAUGUCCAUCCAUCCAUCCAUCCUCAUUAUGAUAUUCUCUUCUUACUUCCCAGUGAUCUAUUCUCAUCCGUUUCCAUCUCUCCAACAAAAAAAAAAAAAAAAAAAAAUGUCGAAAAAAGCAACUCUCCUCAUUUCCCUUUUCACUUCAAUCCUUCCGCUGUCCAUAAUAUUCUACUUCAAGCCUUUCUCUUUCCUCUCAUCACCAAUUCUUUCAAAGCCUCUUUCACUCUUUAACCACAACGGAAUCAACGGCGCCAUUUCCUUCACCAAAAUCCACCAUCACCACCGUCAUGGACCGAGGUCAACAAAUCUCAGCCAACCAGUGGGUCAAUUUGACGAAAACGACGUCGUAGUAUUGACAGACAAGAAUUUUAGCGAUUUCGUUAAUCAGAAUAAAUAUGUGAUGCUAAAAUUCCAUGCGCCAUGGUGUUAUUGGAGUCGCAAACUGGCACCAGAGUAUGCGGCAGCGGCCACCAUGGUUAAGGGUAGUAAUAAAGCUGUUCUUGCAAAAAUUGAUGCUACUCAUGAAUUGGAGUUGGCAAGGAAGUUCAAGAUUCAUGGGUAUCCUACUAUGUAUUUCUUGGCCGGUGGAGUUCAGAGAAUUCCUUAUUAUGGAGAAAGGACUAGGUGAAUUUAUUUCCUUCUCUAUUGACAAAGAUUUCAAUUUACAAGAAUACAAAUCUUGAUUUUUGUUUUUGUUUUUCUGGUGUAAUGAAAUCUUGAUUGUUUAGUUAAUGAAUAUGCAUCGAUCUUUAAUUAAACUCCCAAAAUUUGUAAGUUUUAUUAUAAUUUGAAAUUUUAAUUCAAUCUCAUCUAGAUUGAAAUUGGAAGAAAAAUUGUACUGCAAUUUUUACCAAAUGCAUUGAUGUUAUUUAACUUUACAACUUUAAUUAAGUGAUAUUCAAACUUUCAUAAGCAACUAUUGUGUCUAUUCUUAUCUUUUAUAUUUAAAAUAUCAAAUUGAUAAAUUGUUAAUAUAAUUUUGAGAGCAAUCAUUUUCACAUUUUUCAACUAUUUAAUAAAUAUUCGAUCAAUCUAAUUUUAUCAGUUAAAAUAUUUAAUAGAAUGAUUUUAUAAGUUAAAAUAUUUAAUAAAUGUAAUUUUAUAAAUUGAAAUAUUAAGUGAGUAAAAAUAAAAGUUGAGGGUGUCAUUACAUUUUUCUUAUAAAGUUUUAAGUGCCAAUUUGUGCAUUGGGCCAUAUUAUUUUAAUUAAUUAGAAAGUAAGAAGGUCAUAUUAGCGCUUUAGCAUAUAUUAAAUUAUUAUUUUAAUUUUUAGAUUUUAGAUUUUGUUAAUUUAAUCAUUAUUCAUAUAUGAGUACGGUUUAGUUUCAAAUCAGAAUGUAAUAAAAAACGCAAUCCUUAGUUUCAGACUAAGAUAAAAUCGUUUGGGUUAAUUUUGGUUUGAAAGCAUGAAAAAAAGAAAAUAAAAAAAUUACAUUUGUGAAAUGUGAAUUGGGUGCAUUACACACUUUUGUUGCACCCAACACUUUAGCAAGUGACCGUUGCUGACUUUGUUUUUUUUCCAAUAUUACUAGUUAUUACUAGUAUUGUAAUUAUUUAUUCAUACUAUAUAUAAAACAAAAAGAAACUGGAAAAAGUUGUUUGGUUCCUAAAUCAAACAUGAUGGAACCGAGACCUGCAAUUUCACAUAUGUGAUCAUGGCUAAUUACUUAAUUAGUAUGAUUAUGCACAAAAUUCACAAAAUUUAAGACUUGUUGGACUAUGGCUGAAAUUUAAGGACCAAAUUAAUAAUAUUUUUCUUAUAAUUUUAACUUAGGAUAAAUUGAAAAUAAAAGUUUUCAGACUAGGGUAAUCAAUACAUUUAUUUAUUUAUUUUUGAAAUGGAAUUAACACAUUUUUAUUUGACCUGCAGGGAUGCUAUUGCAAGUUGGGUGAAUCAGAAAAUAAAUAAUGUUGUUCAAAAUUUGACAACAAGUGGGGAAGCAAAAGAUAUAUUAAGAGAAAAUCAUUAAUAGUUUUGGGAUUUCUUGAAAAUCUUGAGGUAUUUUACAAUUCAUAGCAGGUUUUUUUUGCGUGUAACCACACCCAGUAGUCUAAUCUUCCACAACAUUGGCAGAGUCAAGAUAGUAAGGAGCUUGCAGCUGUCUCAGAAAUGCACUUUGAUGUCAAUUUCUUUCAACCCUCCAAUGGUGAUGUUGCAAAGUUAUUCCACAUUGACGAGCAAUUUAAACGCCCUGCUCUUGUCAUCCUGAAAAAAGAGGACAGAGAUCAUAUUCAUUUUGGUUAUGGUUAGUUUAUCAUUCUAUAGUUUUAGUGUCAAACAGACUUGUAGUAGUUUACCCUUCACCUUGCAUACUGUUCUACUCUUCUUACAGAAGGUGAAUUCACCAGAUCAUCAAUAUCAGACUUUGUUUCUACGUACAAGCUUCCUUCAGUGAUCACUUUCACUCCAGAGGAUGCUACAAAUAUAUUUGAGAAUCCUAUGAAGAAAGUAGGUGUUUUAUGUGAACUUUUUUCUAACAUUAGAAAUUUUUUCUGAUUACAUUAACAUUUCUACUGUUUCGCCGUCAGUUGUGGCUUUUUACUGGUGCAAGAUCAUGGAAUGUUGAAUCGAUAUUCAAGGAGGCAGCAAAUGCUUUCAAAGGAAAGGUGAUUACAAAUGUUCUUAUUGCUUUUUAAUAUAAUGUUAUCCAAAGAAAAUGCAUCCAAUUAACAUUUAAAUUUCGCAUGUCCUUAUUUGCUUUUCAAAAGUUGAAAUCAUAUGCAAUUUUCAGUACAUAAAAAAUUUAAAGCUCAAGCCGAGUUUAGCAGCGUGAGCUUGUCACCAAGCGAGCACUGAAAUGUUUAUGAAUUCGAAAUUUGCAUUUCUUUUAUAACAUCUAUUAAUUAACUUAUAUAUUUGAUAUGAAUUAAUCGGUGGGGUUUUAAAUGCAGCUUCUUUUUGUUCAUGUGGAAACUUGGAAUGGAGGUUCUACUGAAAGAAGACUUGCUUGUGAAUUUGGCAUCCCUGAUUGUGAUAGUGCCCCAAGAGUGAGUCCUACACACCAUUCUUCUUCUGCAACUGCAUGAAUUACAAGCUGAGUUAAUUACACUAAAAUUUUCUUGGUGCAGAUUGUAGCUUAUCACACAGAAAAUGGUGAUGCCGAGAAACAUAUAUAUCAUGGUGAAUUGACCUUAUCUGGUAUUAAGGUACUUGGGUUAUUUUCUCCUCUUGUUAUGGUAUUUCUUACUAUAAUUUUGAAUUCAACUCAAAAUUACAGAAUUACUAACUGAGCAAUGCGUUAAUAUAUAUAACCUGAUAUUGUGUUCUAUGUCGAGGUGUAGUCAUUUGCAGAGAAGUUCCUGGAAGGCGAGUUUCCAAGCAAAUUAGGUUCAGAAACAAAGACAGGAAUUAGACUUCCAAUGCAUUCCCAAGCCUCUGAUGCAAGUUCAGUUCCACAUGCAUGUUAGUCAUAACAACUGCAAAUGGGAGGAAGCAAUAAAACUUAAGUGAACUUGUGUGAUAAGUAUAAGAGAGUACUCUUCUUAAUAACAAUAGUAGCCUUUCUUUCUUAUUCUCAAAUAUGUAUGAUAUAAAUUGUGUAUGGGAUAUUUUCAGGGGAUUUUGCUGUCCGGACUCCCA